UCGAAGAAGAAGAGGAAGCAGAAGAUAAAAACGAACAUGAAGCAGAUAGUACGUUUGAAUAUGUUUUUAUGCCAACCGAUAGUCAAAUUAAGACGAAAAUGAUUUCACUUGACCAGGAGUUUGUUUAAUAAUAAUAAGUCUGUUUUAUCUAAGAAUAGAAGCGGAGCUGCUGUCAGCGUUGCUAAAGUUGUUUCUGCCUGUUACGCGACAUGUUACUACGAGCCGAGAGAAGCAAAACGAGUCGGUUUUAUCAACACCUCCUACGUUACUUUAUGCUGGUUACCAACUCAAUUAUUCGAAGGAUGUCGUCCGCUCUCCACCGGCAUGUCAGAUGGACUGGUGGCCUUCACCCCCUGGCUCUGUUAGAGAGCAGAAUCCCUGGCAGCCCAUGAGGAAGCAUCUUCCACCUGCAGGAGCCGGAGUUCUUGUCCUUGCUGCUGGGGAUCUGUGUCCUCCCCUGUACAUGGCCUGGAUGUGGAUUGGAAGAAAAAGGGGACUAUGAAGGACUGGUGCUGGUGAACAGGACGGCGUCACAGCUUCUUGAGGAGGGGCUGGGUGCAGGACUCCUUUUUGAGGGGAUUGAGAUUGACUGUGCUCACGCCAAGCUGAUACCA
Molecule: long non-coding RNA, 614 nt
Organism: Monopterus albus (swamp eel)
Lineage: Eukaryota; Metazoa; Chordata; Actinopteri; Synbranchiformes; Synbranchidae
Exons: 3
Source: RefSeq, a predicted model, not a curated record